GUGCUCGCUUCGGCAGCCCAUAUUCUAAUAUUGGAACGAUACAGAGAAGAUUAGCAUGGCCCACGCACAAGGAUGACACGCAAAUUCAUGAAGUGCUUAAUAUUUCA
Molecule: small nuclear RNA, 107 nt
Organism: Bombina bombina (fire-bellied toad)
Lineage: Eukaryota; Metazoa; Chordata; Amphibia; Anura; Bombinatoridae
Source: RefSeq, a predicted model, not a curated record